GGUUAAGCGACUAAGCGUACACGGUGGAUGCCCUGGCAGUCAGAGGCGAUGAAGGACGUGCUAAUCUGCGAUAAGCGUCGGUAAGGUGAUAUGAACCGUUAUAACCGGCGAUUUCCGAAUGGGGAAACCCAGUGUGUUUCGACACACUAUCAUUAACUGAAUCCAUAGGUUAAUGAGGCGAACCGGGGGAACUGAAACAUCUAAGUACCCCGAGGAAAAGAAAUCAACCGAGAUUCCCCCAGUAGCGGCGAGCGAACGGGGAGCAGCCCAGAGCCUGAAUCAGUGUGUGUGUUAGUGGAAGCGUCUGGAAAGGCGCGCGAUACAGGGUGACAGCCCCGUACACAAAAAUGCACAUGCUGUGAGCUCGAUGAGUAGGGCGGGACACGUGGUAUCCUGUCUGAAUAUGGGGGGACCAUCCUCCAAGGCUAAAUACUCCUGACUGACCGAUAGUGAACCAGUACCGUGAGGGAAAGGCGAAAAGAACCCCGGCGAGGGGAGUGAAAAAGAACCUGAAACCGUGUACGUACAAGCAGUGGGAGCCUCUUUAUGGGGUGACUGCGUACCUUUUGUAUAAUGGGUCAGCGACUUAUAUUCUGUAGCAAGGUUAACCGAAUAGGGGAGCCGAAGGGAAACCGAGUCUUAACUGGGCGUUAAGUUGCAGGGUAUAGACCCGAAACCCGGUGAUCUAGCCAUGGGCAGGUUGAAGGUUGGGUAACACUAACUGGAGGACCGAACCGACUAAUGUUGAAAAAUUAGCGGAUGACUUGUGGCUGGGGGUGAAAGGCCAAUCAAACCGGGAGAUAGCUGGUUCUCCCCGAAAGCUAUUUAGGUAGCGCCUCGUGAAUUCAUCUCCGGGGGUAGAGCACUGUUUCGGCAAGGGGGUCAUCCCGACUUACCAACCCGAUGCAAACUGCGAAUACCGGAGAAUGUUAUCACGGGAGACACACGGCGGGUGCUAACGUCCGUCGUGAAGAGGGAAACAACCCAGACCGCCAGCUAAGGUCCCAAAGUCAUGGUUAAGUGGGAAACGAUGUGGGAAGGCCCAGACAGCCAGGAUGUUGGCUUAGAAGCAGCCAUCAUUUAAAGAAAGCGUAAUAGCUCACUGGUCGAGUCGGCCUGCGCGGAAGAUGUAACGGGGCUAAACCAUGCACCGAAGCUGCGGCAGCGACGCUUAUGCGUUGUUGGGUAGGGGAGCGUUCUGUAAGCCUGUGAAGGUGUGCUGUGAGGCAUGCUGGAGGUAUCAGAAGUGCGAAUGCUGACAUAAGUAACGAUAAAGCGGGUGAAAAGCCCGCUCGCCGGAAGACCAAGGGUUCCUGUCCAACGUUAAUCGGGGCAGGGUGAGUCGACCCCUAAGGCGAGGCCGAAAGGCGUAGUCGAUGGGAAACAGGUUAAUAUUCCUGUACUUGGUGUUACUGCGAAGGGGGGACGGAGAAGGCUAUGUUGGCCGGGCGACGGUUGUCCCGGUUUAAGCGUGUAGGCUGGUUUUCCAGGCAAAUCCGGAAAAUCAAGGCUGAGGCGUGAUGACGAGGCACUACGGUGCUGAAGCAACAAAUGCCCUGCUUCCAGGAAAAGCCUCUAAGCAUCAGGUAACAUCAAAUCGUACCCCAAACCGACACAGGUGGUCAGGUAGAGAAUACCAAGGCGCUUGAGAGAACUCGGGUGAAGGAACUAGGCAAAAUGGUGCCGUAACUUCGGGAGAAGGCACGCUGAUAUGUAGGUGAAGCGACUUGCUCGUGGAGCUGAAAUCAGUCGAAGAUACCAGCUGGCUGCAACUGUUUAUUAAAAACACAGCACUGUGCAAACACGAAAGUGGACGUAUACGGUGUGACGCCUGCCCGGUGCCGGAAGGUUAAUUGAUGGGGUCAGCGCAAGCGAAGCUCUUGAUCGAAGCCCCGGUAAACGGCGGCCGUAACUAUAACGGUCCUAAGGUAGCGAAAUUCCUUGUCGGGUAAGUUCCGACCUGCACGAAUGGCGUAAUGAUGGCCAGGCUGUCUCCACCCGAGACUCAGUGAAAUUGAACUCGCUGUGAAGAUGCAGUGUACCCGCGGCAAGACGGAAAGACCCCGUGAACCUUUACUAUAGCUUGACACUGAACAUUGAGCCUUGAUGUGUAGGAUAGGUGGGAGGCUUUGAAGUGUGGACGCCAGUCUGCAUGGAGCCGACCUUGAAAUACCACCCUUUAAUGUUUGAUGUUCUAACGUUGACCCGUGAUCCGGGUUGCGGACAGUGUCUGGUGGGUAGUUUGACUGGGGCGGUCUCCUCCUAAAGAGUAACGGAGGAGCACGAAGGUUGGCUAAUCCUGGUCGGACAUCAGGAGGUUAGUGCAAUGGCAUAAGCCAGCUUGACUGCGAGCGUGACGGCGCGAGCAGGUGCGAAAGCAGGUCAUAGUGAUCCGGUGGUUCUGAAUGGAAGGGCCAUCGCUCAACGGAUAAAAGGUACUCCGGGGAUAACAGGCUGAUACCGCCCAAGAGUUCAUAUCGACGGCGGUGUUUGGCACCUCGAUGUCGGCUCAUCACAUCCUGGGGCUGAAGUAGGUCCCAAGGGUAUGGCUGUUCGCCAUUUAAAGUGGUACGCGAGCUGGGUUUAGAACGUCGUGAGACAGUUCGGUCCCUAUCUGCCGUGGGCGCUGGAGAACUGAGGGGGGCUGCUCCUAGUACGAGAGGACCGGAGUGGACGCAUCACUGGUGUUCGGGUUGUCAUGCCAAUGGCACUGCCCGGUAGCUAAAUGCGGAAGAGAUAAGUGCUGAAAGCAUCUAAGCACGAAACUUGCCCCGAGAUGAGUUCUCCCUGACCCUUUAAGGGUCCUGAAGGAACGUUGAAGACGACGACGUUGAUAGGCCGGGUGUGUAAGCGCAGCGAUGCGUUGAGCUAACCGGUACUAAUGAACCGUGAGGCUUAACCUU
RNAcentral lists this ribosomal RNA (2903 nucleotides) under Escherichia coli. Its description in RNAcentral is "23S ribosomal RNA". It matches the Rfam family "Bacterial large subunit ribosomal RNA". The record is from RNAcentral. Lineage: Bacteria; Pseudomonadati; Pseudomonadota; Gammaproteobacteria; Enterobacterales; Enterobacteriaceae.